AAAGCUCAAAUUUGAAAUCUGGCAGUCUACGGCUGUCCGAGUUGUAAUCUAGAGAAGUGUUUUCCGUGCUGGACCGUGUACAAGUCCUUUGGAACAAGGCGUCAUAGAGGGUGAGAAUCCCGUCUACGACACGGACUGCCAGUGCUCUGUGAUACACUCUCAACGAGUCGAGUUGUUUGGGAAUGCAGCUCAAAAUGGGUGGUAAAUUCCAUCUAAAGCUAAAUACAGGCGAAAGACCGAUAGCGAACAAGUACCGUGAGGGAAAGAUGAAAAGCACUUUGGAAAGAGAGUUAAACAGUACGUGAAAUUGUUGAAAGGGAAACGCUUGAAGUCAGUCGCGUCUUCAGAAAUUCAGCCUGGCUAAACUGCCUGGUGCACUUUUCUGUUGGACGGGCCAGCAUCAGUUUUGACCGCCAGAAAAAGGUGGGAGGAAGGUGGCACCUCCGGGUGUGUUAUAGCCUCCCACCGUAUGUGGCGGUUGGGACUGAGGACCGCAGCACGCCUCUAAUGGCCGGGGUUCGCCCACGUAACGUGCUUAGGAUGCUGGCGUAAUGGCUUUAAACGACC
This 567-nucleotide ribosomal RNA is filed under the name Geastrum albofibrosum. RNAcentral's name for it is "partial large subunit ribosomal RNA". It matches the Rfam family "Eukaryotic large subunit ribosomal RNA", at positions 104 to 649 of the family's 3401-position model. Lineage: Eukaryota; Fungi; Basidiomycota; Agaricomycetes; Geastrales; Geastraceae. The record is from RNAcentral.